RNAcentral lists this ribosomal RNA (249 nucleotides) under uncultured bacterium. RNAcentral describes it as "partial 16S ribosomal RNA". It matches the Rfam family "Bacterial small subunit ribosomal RNA", at positions 106 to 358 of the family's 1533-position model. The record is from RNAcentral.
GUGAGUAACACGUAGGAAUCUGCCUAGUAGUGGGGGAUAACUUGGGGAAACUCAAGCUAAUACCGCAUACGCUCUACGGAGGAAAGCGGGGGAUCUUCGGACCUCGCGCUAUUAGAUGAGCCUGCGUCCGAUUAGCUAGUUGGUGGGGUAAAGGCCCACCAAGGCGACGAUCGGUAGCUGGUCUGAGAGGACGAUCAGCCACACUGGAACUGAGACACGGUCCAGACUCCUACGGGAGGCAGCAGUGGG